AACGCACGAGACCUGCGGACCUGCGGAAGGAUCAUUAAUGAGAAACUGCCCCCCGCGGGUAGAUCUCCCACCCUUUGUAAACUUACCUUUGUUGCUUUGGCAGGCCCGUCUCCGGACCGCCGGCUUCGGCUGGCCAGUGCCUGCCAGAGGAUUCUAAAACUCUGUCUGUCAGUGUUGUCUGAGUCUAUAUACAAUCGUUAAAACUUUUAACAACGGAUCUCUAGAUCGGAAGAGCACACG
RNAcentral lists this unclassified non-coding RNA (240 nucleotides) under soil metagenome. RNAcentral's name for it is "partial contains 5.8S ribosomal RNA, internal transcribed spacer 2, and large subunit ribosomal RNA". The record is from RNAcentral.